GGGAGUAGUUCGUGAUCUGGUGCCACGCCCGGUCUUCAAAACCGGUGGGGGGCGUAUCCCGUCCCCGGUGGGUUCGAUUCCCAUCUGCUCCCGCCA
Molecule: transfer RNA, 96 nt
Filed under: Desulfuromonadales bacterium
Lineage: Bacteria; Pseudomonadati; Thermodesulfobacteriota; Desulfuromonadia; Desulfuromonadales
Description: tRNA-Sec
Rfam family: Selenocysteine transfer RNA
Source: RNAcentral